This 492-nucleotide ribosomal RNA is filed under the name uncultured bacterium. RNAcentral describes it as "partial 16S ribosomal RNA". It matches the Rfam family "Bacterial small subunit ribosomal RNA", at positions 29 to 507 of the family's 1533-position model. The record is from RNAcentral.
AGUGAACGCUGGCGGUAGGCCUAACACAUGCGAGUCGAACGGCAGCACAGUAAGAGCUUGCUCUUACGGGUGGCGAGUGGCGGACGGGUGAGGAAUACAUCGGAAUCUACUUUUUCGUGGGGGAUAACGUAGGGAAACUUACGCUAAUACCGCAUACGACCUACGGGUGAAAGCAGGGGAUCUUCGGACCUUGCGCGAUUGAAUGAGCCGAUGUCGGAUUAGCUAGUUGGCGGGGUAAAGGCCCACCAAGGCGACGAUCCGUAGCUGGUCUGAGAGGAUGAUCAGCCACACUGGAACUGAGACACGGUCCAGACUCCUACGGGAGGCAGCAGUGGGAAAUAUUGGACAAUGGGCGCAAGCCUGAUCCAGCCAUACCGCGUGGGUGAAGAAGGCCUUCGGGUUGUAAAGCCCUUUUGUUGGGAAAGAAAAGCAGCAGGUUAAUACCCCGCUGUUCUGACGGUACCCAAAGAAUAAGCACCGGCUAACUUCGUG